This 19-nucleotide ribosomal RNA is filed under the name Xiphophorus maculatus (southern platyfish). RNAcentral describes it as "partial 16S ribosomal RNA". Lineage: Eukaryota; Metazoa; Chordata; Actinopteri; Cyprinodontiformes; Poeciliidae. RNAcentral also lists the same sequence under 4 other names. The record is from RNAcentral.
GACCCAACAGCUAGCCUCC